RNAcentral lists this long non-coding RNA (953 nucleotides) under Trifolium pratense (red clover). Its description in RNAcentral is "long non-coding RNA (TPRA_LNC007652)". The record is from RNAcentral. Lineage: Eukaryota; Viridiplantae; Streptophyta; Magnoliopsida; Fabales; Fabaceae.
CUACUUCUAGAUUCAUAAAAGUAAAAAUAUGGUUAAAUUUUAUAUGUUUAUUUAUGCUAUGAUUAUUUUUUUUUUCCAUAUUAAUUUCUAUAGCAAAUAGUUGUAAGUAGUUUUUAUCAUCAUUUUUAAAUUCGCUUUCAAAAUUUAGUUUGAUAUACUGGUAUUUCUAUACAAAAUUUAAUAUCAUAUUUUUAUAUUAAUUUAUUGGGUUAAAUAAAUCUUUUGUCCCUACAAAUAUGUCAAAUUUUGGUUUUAGUUCCAAUAAAAAAUUUCAACAAGUUUUAGUUCUCAAAUAUCUUCUUUUACGAUUUUCCAUCCUACUUUUAAGUCAACUCAUCUAUAUAUAGUUUUUGGUUUACAAUGGAGUCAACAAGAAUCGAACUUAAGCCCUCAUUCAUAUUACCCAACUUAGUGGAUUGUCAACUCAUCUAUAUUACUUGAAAUUUUUAUUGUUUACGGCAUUCAUGUUUAGUACAUUGUAUAAACCUCUCUGACGAAAAUUUAAUAUCCCGAUCAAUAUUUCAUAAGUUUUAAUCUCUCCCUCCAAAAUUUAGUUUUUUACAACAUAAUGGAUGAAAUAGAUAUGAAUUUCUAAUUUUUUGGCGCUUAAAAAACUCAUAUUUAAUUCAUCAAAAAUUUAAUAAAUUCUAAAUUAUUUUGGGAAAGAUUUUUUAUAUUAUUAUAAACAUAAAUAUAAAAAUUAAAAACUCAUUCAAAAAUAUGAAAGUAUAUAUAAGUUAACUUAAAAAUAAGAAUCAAAUGUUAUGAAAUAAAAUAUUUGGAAGACAAAAUCAACUUGCUGAAAUUGUUUACAUAGACUAGAAGUAAAAUUUAGGAAUAUUUAUACCGUUCAAAAACUUGUUUAACCGUAAUCUUUAUUAAAAUAAAUUGAUAUUUUAAAUGAUUUUUGUCUAAAUUUGAUAUAUGUAUAAGGAUUCCUAAUAAUUUUUACC